GUGCACAAACACGUUUAACGAUGUAUCAUUGAGGAGAUGAUGAAAUCCACAGAAGAGAAAAAGGAAGUUCUACAAGGCCCACUAUGACAACAGGCAGUGCAGGUCUUCACCUGACCUCCUCACUGAUGUCUCCAAACAGGUGUAUGAACAGACCUGUUCCCCAAUGCCGGCUGUGCCCCGAAUGGGAAGCGCAGUCAGUCUGCUGUGGAGGUGCUGUUCACCACUAAGGAUCUGGAGGGCCCCCAGCCCCACCCCCAGGAUGCCCACACGUCUGCCUUCGCCCAGUCCCGCUCCUCCUCCUUCUCUUGGGCCGAGCCAGGGCCACAGUGAGGGGGCCACCCUCCGGGCCAGACAGAGCUUCAACCGCAGCUGAGGGGCCUCAAGAGGGGACGACUUCUGGCCAACACACAGCAGCUGGUCCCGCUUUACCCCUACCCGGAGCUGCACCCCGCCCUGCCCCGCUCUGGCCUACAUGUCCGGCGCCUCUUUCUCCUUGGACCACUCUCCAGCCCCACUGCCUCGGUCCUGCUAUGUCCCUGGCCCGCUCCCCAGGCCACCCUCCUGGACGACUUCAUCCUCCAGUUUCUCCAGCCCGUCCUCGUCGACUCCCUGUCUGAGGC
Molecule: long non-coding RNA, 620 nt
Organism: Coregonus clupeaformis (lake whitefish)
Lineage: Eukaryota; Metazoa; Chordata; Actinopteri; Salmoniformes; Salmonidae
Exons: 3
Source: RefSeq, a predicted model, not a curated record